Long non-coding RNA from Ixodes scapularis (black-legged tick), 192 nucleotides. RefSeq lists it as uncharacterized. The transcript is spliced from 2 exons. NCBI's taxonomy places the organism in Eukaryota, Metazoa, Arthropoda, Arachnida, Ixodida, Ixodidae. The record is from RefSeq and is a predicted model, not a curated record.
AGCAGAAGUUUCGAGCAUGCCGAUGUCCACAGUUCGACUGCUCCAACCUCGGCGAUUCUCUACCCAAGCUCGAAUGAGGAGCGUGGAGGGGAGGUCGAUCGCCUUCGCCUUUACGAUCGAGAUGGUCAUCUUGGAAUGACCCGUGACGUCACGGACUUCGCAAACAAUUUCAAUUAAAUCUCUCCCAAUCAA